AUACGGAGGGUGCAAGCGUUACUCGGAAUCACUGGGCGUAAAGCGCGCGCAGGCGGCUAUUUAAGUUGGAUGUGAAAGCCUACGGCUCAACCGUAGAACUGCAUCCAAAACUAUUUAGCUAGAGUGUGGGAGAGGAAGAUGGAAUUAGUUGUGUAGGGGUAAAAUCCGUAGAGAUAACUAGGAAUACCAAAAGCGAAGGCAAUCUUCUGGAACACUACUGACGCUGAGGCGCGAAAGCGUGGGGAGCAAACGGGAUUAGAAACCCCUGUAGUCC
Molecule: ribosomal RNA, 274 nt
Filed under: uncultured bacterium
Lineage: Bacteria
Description: partial 16S ribosomal RNA
Rfam family: Bacterial small subunit ribosomal RNA
Source: RNAcentral